This 439-nucleotide ribosomal RNA is filed under the name uncultured bacterium. RNAcentral's name for it is "bacterial SSU rRNA". It matches the Rfam family "Bacterial small subunit ribosomal RNA", at positions 959 to 1397 of the family's 1533-position model. The record is from RNAcentral.
ACGCGUGGAACCUUACCAGGUCUUGACAUCCUCUGACACUCCUAGAGAUAGGACGUUCCCCUUCGGGGGACAGAGUGACAGGUGGUGCAUGGUUGUCGUCAGCUCGUGUCGUGAGAUGUUGGGUUAAGUCCCGCAACGAGCGCAACCCUUGAUCUUAGUUGCCAGCAUUUAGUUGGGCACUCUAAGGUGACUGCCGGUGACAAACCGGAGGAAGGUGGGGAUGACGUCAAAUCAUCAUGCCCCUUAUGACCUGGGCUACACACGUGCUACAAUGGAUGGUACAAAGGGCAGCAAAGCGGUGACGCCUAGCAAAUCCCAUAAAACCAUUCUCAGUUCGGAUUGUAGGCUGCAACUCGCCUACAUGAAGCUGGAAUCGCUAGUAAUCGCGGAUCAGCAUGCCGCGGUGAAUACGUUCCCGGGCCUUGCACACACCGCCCGU